GUCCAUAUCAAGAAAGUAGCAAGAACACAUUCAACCAAAUGGACCAAGCAUAUUAACAAUGGUUCCACCUGGAUGGAAAAACCAGACUUGUGAUAGUUCCAAAUGAGUACAUAGAGCUGACUCAUCAAUCACGUUCUGCCCACUCACUUAUAGUGAGCUACCAAGUAUAUGCGACCGCAACUCAAGCUGUAUUCACCUAUCACUUCAAGGCUCACUCUUUGUGGCCG
RNAcentral lists this unclassified non-coding RNA (227 nucleotides) under Hevea brasiliensis (rubber tree). The record is from RNAcentral. Lineage: Eukaryota; Viridiplantae; Streptophyta; Magnoliopsida; Malpighiales; Euphorbiaceae.